GUGUGUGGUGGGGGUAGGUUGCUGAGAACCUUUGGAGCCCAAAUCUAAAGCAGUUCCACAGACUUCCUUAGGCCUGCGGGCCCCGUCGCCACGCCCCUGCCCUAGCACCUCGGGAUGCUCUGGAGAUACAGAGGCACCCUCUCUUGGCCUAAAGAGGGAGUCUGGAAAACGUCGAGAAGUUCCUCACCUCGAGGUCUUAGAAAGCCCAGGCCUUGUCCGUUCUGGUGAAACUUUGUGCUGCUCUGCAGAGGGAGAUUCACCGGAUGGCUUCUGGCGGCGACUACCAGGACCACGCUGGACCUGAGUCGAGUUCCUCACCGUUUUAUCCCGAUUGUUCUACGCGUCCUGUCCUGCCAAGCCCUUCUCAGAAGCAGAGAGGACCAGAGGACACCUCUUUGCGGUUCGACGACCCGAUGUGAAAAUCCAGGAAGAAGAUCGGGUUGCAUUGCUGAGGGGAUGCCGCGCCCGUCCGGCCACCACCUCCGCAUGGAGGCUGCGGGUUCCUGGGGACCCCGCCUAGUUCGGUGCUUUUCUCUCCCCUUACUCUCUUGGCGCAGCAGGGGCGCCCAGCUGGAAAUCAAAGAGGGGCGGGAGGAAUUCUGAAGAUGCGAAGGGACAUCAGGGACCAGAAUGAAGCUAGGCCUGGAUGCAUCCGCCCGGGACACGGGAGCCACAGGGAGCUGGGCGCAGGCACCGUUCUAAUCGCCGACCGCUAUUAAAAAUAAAACCGCGACCCGUCGUCAUAGCGACCACAACAACAGCGGCCGC
This 768-nucleotide long non-coding RNA is filed under the name Rattus norvegicus (Norway rat). RNAcentral describes it as "long non-coding RNA NONRATT007806". Lineage: Eukaryota; Metazoa; Chordata; Mammalia; Rodentia; Muridae. The record is from RNAcentral.